GGAAUUUUCCGCAAUGGGGGAAACCCUGACGCAGCAACGCCGCGUGACCGAUGAAGCUUCUAGGAGCGUAAAGGUCUGUCGUAAGGGAAGAAAGGACCUGACGGUACCUUACAAGAAAGCACCGGCUAACUUCGUGCCAGCAGCCGCGGUAAUACGAGGGGUGCAAGCGUUGUCCGGAAUCACUGGGCGUAAAGGGUCCGUAGGCGUCUUAAAAAGUCAUUUGUUAAAUACACCGGCUUAACCGGUGACCUGCAUUUGAAACUAUUAAGAUAGAGUAUAGGAGAGGAAAGCGGAAUUCCUGGUGUAGCGGUGACAUGCGUAGAUAUCAGGAGGAACACCAAUGGCGAAGGCAGCUUUCUGGCCUAUUACUGACGCUGAGGGACGAAAGCGUGGGGAGCGAACAGGAUUAGAUACCCCAGUAGUC
This 424-nucleotide ribosomal RNA is filed under the name uncultured bacterium. RNAcentral's name for it is "bacterial SSU rRNA". It matches the Rfam family "Bacterial small subunit ribosomal RNA", at positions 358 to 795 of the family's 1533-position model. The record is from RNAcentral.